GGGGGAGUGUGGCAGCGAUGUCACAGACUGGAACAGUACCCUGUACAGGUGCUGCAUGGCUGUCGUCAGCUCGUGCCGUGAGGUGUUGGGUUAAGUCCCGCAACGAGCGCAACCCUACUGCCAGUUACUAACAGGUAACGCUGAGGACUCUGGCGGAACUGCCGGUGACAAACCGGAGGAAGGUGGGGAUGACGUCAAGUCAUCAUGGCCCCUAUGUCCAGGGCUACACACGUGCUACAAUGGGCGAUACAGAGUGACGCGAAGCCGCGAGGUGGAGCAAAUCGCAGAAAAUCGCUCUCAGUUCGGAUUGGAGUCUGAAACCCGACUCCAUGAAGGUGGAAUCGCUAGUAAUCGCGCAUCAGCAUGGCGCGGUGAAUACGUUCCCGGGCCUU
Molecule: ribosomal RNA, 392 nt
Filed under: uncultured Spirochaetaceae bacterium
Lineage: Bacteria; Pseudomonadati; Spirochaetota; Spirochaetia; Spirochaetales; Spirochaetaceae
Description: bacterial SSU rRNA
Rfam family: Bacterial small subunit ribosomal RNA
Source: RNAcentral